AUUGAACGCUGGCGGCAGGCCUAACACAUGCAAGUCGAGCGGAUGAAGGGAGCUUGCUCCUGGAUUCAGCGGCGGACGGGUGAGUAAUGCCUAGGGAUCUGCCUGGUAGUGGGGGAUAACGUCCGGAAACGGGCGCUAAUACCGCAUACGUCCUGAGGGAGAAAGUGGGGGAUCUUCGGACCUCACGCUAUCAGAUGAGCCUAGGUCGGAUUAGCUAGUUGGUGGGGUAAAGGCCUACCAAGGCGACGAUCCGUAACUGGUCUGAGAGGAUGAUCAGUCACACUGGAACUGAGACACGGUCCAGACUCCUACGGGAGGCAGCAGUGGGGAAUAUUGGACAAUGGGCGAAAGCCUGAUCCAGCCAUGCCGCGUGUGUGAAGAAGGACUUCGGAUUGUAAAGCACUUUAAGUUGGGAGGAAGGGCAGUAAGUUAAUACCUUGCUGUUUUGACGUUACCAACAGAAUAAGCACCGGCUAACUUCGUG
RNAcentral lists this ribosomal RNA (484 nucleotides) under uncultured bacterium. Its description in RNAcentral is "partial 16S ribosomal RNA". It matches the Rfam family "Bacterial small subunit ribosomal RNA", at positions 30 to 507 of the family's 1533-position model. The record is from RNAcentral.